GGUUGAUCCUGCCAGUAGUCAUAUGCUUGUCUAAAAGAUUAAGCCAUGCAUGUGUAAGUGUAAAUCGUUUACAGUGGGACUGCAGAAGGCUCAUUAAAUCAGUUAUAGUUUAUUUGAUGGUUUCUUUUUUACUACUUGGAUAACCGUAGUAAUUCUAGAGCUAAUACAUGCAUUAAAAUCCCGACUAUAGGGGUCAAACCUUUGUGGAAAGGAUGUAUUUAUUAGAUUAAAAACCAAUAAGGCGUGUAGCAAUAUGCGUCUUUUACAUUGGUGAUUCAUAAUAACUCGUUUU
Molecule: ribosomal RNA, 292 nt
Filed under: uncultured eukaryote
Lineage: Eukaryota
Description: partial 18S ribosomal RNA
Rfam family: Eukaryotic small subunit ribosomal RNA
Source: RNAcentral